This 230-nucleotide long non-coding RNA is filed under the name Lathyrus oleraceus (garden pea). RNAcentral describes it as "Pisum sativum (pea) long non-coding RNA (PSAT_LNC016953)". Lineage: Eukaryota; Viridiplantae; Streptophyta; Magnoliopsida; Fabales; Fabaceae. The record is from RNAcentral.
AAACUUUUAAAUUUUUGUAUCUAGGGUAGUCUCUUCAUCUUCUUCACAUUUCUUUAAUUUCAAAAUCCCUCCCUCCAUUUUCAAAAACUUCUUUGUGUGAACUACUUUUGUUCUAAACUUUGACCACUUUCAAAGAGGUAGAAACUUUGGCCUUAUGCCAUUGCAUUUUCAAACUUAUUUUCUUAAAUCAAACUUGUAAAUAAACUUAACCAUAUUUGACUUAAACUUUG